GAUCCUGGCUCAGAGCGAACGUUAGCGGCGCGCCUAACACAUGCAAGUCGCACGAGAAAGGGGGCAACCCCCCGGUACAGUGGCGCACGGGGUGAGUAACACGUGGAUUACCUUCCCUGGAGUGGUGGAUAACCUGCCGAAAGGUGGGCUAAUACAGCAUGAGACCACGCACUUUCGAGUGUGAGGUCAAAGCGGGCUUCUGUUUACAUGCUCGCGCUCUAGGAUGGGUCCGCGGCCCAUCAGCUAGUUGGUAGGGUAACGGCCUACCAAGGCAACGACGGGUAGCUGGUCUGAGAGGAUGACCAGCCACACUGGAACUGAGACACGGUCCAGACUCCUACGGGAGGCAGCAGUGGGGAAUCUUGCGCAAUGGGCGAAAGCCUGACGCAGCGACGCCGCGUGGGUGACGAAGGCCUUCGG
Molecule: ribosomal RNA, 420 nt
Filed under: uncultured bacterium
Lineage: Bacteria
Description: bacterial SSU rRNA
Rfam family: Bacterial small subunit ribosomal RNA
Source: RNAcentral